This 515-nucleotide ribosomal RNA is filed under the name uncultured bacterium. Its description in RNAcentral is "bacterial SSU rRNA". It matches the Rfam family "Bacterial small subunit ribosomal RNA", at positions 30 to 518 of the family's 1533-position model. The record is from RNAcentral.
CGAACGCUGGCGGCGUGCCUAAUACAUGCAAGUCGAACGGUCUUUCUAUGGAAGCUUGCUUCCACUGAGAAGAUAGUGGCGAACGGGUGAGUAACACGUGGGUAACCUGCCCAUAAGAGGGGGAUAACAUCCGGAAACGGGUGCUAAUACCGCAUAGUUUUCUUGAUCGCAUGAUCGGGAAAGGAAAGACGGCCUUUGUGCUGUCGCUUAUGGAUGGACCCGCGGCGUAUUAGUUAGUUGGUGAGGUAACGGCUCACCAAGACGAUGAUACGUAGCCGACCUGAGAGGGUGAUCGGCCACAUUGGGACUGAGACACGGCCCAAACUCCUACGGGAGGCAGCAGUAGGGAAUCUUCCGCAAUGGACGAAAGUCUGACGGAGCAACGCCGCGUGAGUGAAAGAAGGUUUUCGGAUCGUAAAACUCUGUUGUCAGAGAAGAACAAGUUGGAGAGUAACUGCUCCAGCCUUGACGGUAUCUGACCAGAAAGCCACGGCUAACUACGUGCCAGCCGCCGC